UCAACAUUGUCGGAGGUAAAAAAUAUUAAAUCAAAAUUUCUUGUUAUCUUGAAGAGAGAGAAUUUAUUUUUCAAGUGACCGGUUUUAUGAUUAAUAACAGAUUACAGUAAAUGAGGUUGCCAAGAGGAAAGAUCUUCUUUUGUAUCAUUUAAAAGUUUAAAUGAAAUCAAUGUUUUACUUCAUUUUGAUGGGUUACCAAGACAGUUCACGGCUAUAAUUAAUUAUAGUUAUAGAAAUAAGAAGAUGUGGCAUUAUUGCCAAUAAGACAACACUCCAACAGAGUUCAAUUGACACAACUAUAGUUCAUCGUACAGCCUACAACAAUGAGAAAAACAUCAUAUCGCAUAUAUCAUAUAUCAGUCAUAAAGGGCCACGAAAUGACAAAAGUAAAACAAAAAACUAAUAACCUGUACAAUAUAUAUGAGUUUGGCUGUCCCUCUGGUAUAUUUCGUCCCUCUUUUUUAAUGAAGAAAAAUAUGAUAUACAGCAACAAACAACAACCUCAUAAAAAACUGGUUUGUUAACAUAACAUGUUAAAACACUACUUUCCAUCACCUCUGGUUAAGACUGACAAGCAGUUAUGCCUGAUUCCAUUAUUAAGAUUAUGCUCUUCUAGAUCAUGUUAAAGAAAUUCUACGAAACGCAUAUUAACGAUGUUUAUGGUGCACAUAAAACAGUCUGACUACGCAAUGAAUGGUCAUAUCACGCUGUUAAUAUACUCCAGCGUUUGAAAAAAGUUGCUUAACCAUUACAGUCAGACUUUUAACUAUGUGUUUAUACUGUUUUUCACCAUAAUUCUCAUACGUAACAAAAUUGUCUUUCAGAAAAAACAUUCUCUCAGCCAUGUGUGCAGAAUUACAGUGACUACACAUGUUUGUGAUUUUUGUAAUGAUGUCUAAAAUGCAAACAAGGAAAUUCGUCAUUUCAAAGCAUUUCAAAGUAUGUCUCAAUAAGACUGUUUUGAUUAAAUAUGAUGUAAAGUCGCUCGAGACUUCUUCGACAUCUCGAAGAACGAUAUACUUCAUAAGUCUGUAACAUUUCCUGUGGUGCAAUGAUAAGGAUUUCAUGCGCUUGACUUCUGUUAGAGUAAAUGUAAACUUAAAGCAUGGUUGAUCAUGAUGGGAACCAACUGUCGUCGGCAAAACAAAACAGGAAUAAUCAUCUUUGAGCUGGUCAAAAUACUGAAAAUUCUUUCUAUCCACGUGAUGAGAAAUGUCAAUAGCUAGCACUAUGUCUAUGGAAAUCCUUAAUUUCUGUGAUGUAAGUGAACUUUUGGGUGUCCAUUCCAUUAGUAAUUUUAAAGCCUGCCCAUUAUGUCUUGUCCCAUCAGUAAAAAAUGACAAUGUUCCAGUAUUUUUUUCAAUAGUUUUGCAUACAAUCUUUGAAAUUGCUGACUGUACUAAAUCAGCUUUAUAAAUAUACUUCAGAAAAUCUGUAUAAAUAAAUCGAUCAUGUGAUAUAAAGAACCUGUCGAACGUUUUCACCAAAUUCGGGUCUUUUACCUGAAGGUGGGCAUGUUUGAAUGCAUGUUCACCUCUUAUGUGGUAUUUUUUACAGUCUUUUUUUAUUGUCGAUAAUAAUAAUAUCCAAAGCACCUGGUACAGACAAUUUUUUUAAUACAACAAGAAAGUCAAAUUCGCUAGGCUCUAUUAUACGCGUUUCUUCCGCCAUACUACCGACAAGGUAUUUCUGUGAAACCUCAAACACGCUUCGACUAUCAUCAUAAUCACCAAAC
Molecule: long non-coding RNA, 1735 nt
Filed under: Mytilus galloprovincialis (Mediterranean mussel)
Lineage: Eukaryota; Metazoa; Mollusca; Bivalvia; Mytilida; Mytilidae
Source: RNAcentral